This 470-nucleotide ribosomal RNA is filed under the name uncultured Rhodocyclaceae bacterium. RNAcentral describes it as "bacterial SSU rRNA". It matches the Rfam family "Bacterial small subunit ribosomal RNA", at positions 916 to 1381 of the family's 1533-position model. Lineage: Bacteria; Pseudomonadati; Pseudomonadota; Betaproteobacteria; Rhodocyclales; Rhodocyclaceae. The record is from RNAcentral.
GACGGGACCCGCACAAGCGUGGAUGAUGUGGAUUAAUUCGAUGCAGCGCGAAAACCUUUACCUACCCUUGACAUGUCCGGAAUCCCGAAGAGAUUUGGGAGUGCUCGCAAAGAGAACCGGAACACAGGUGCUGCAUGGCUGUCGUCAGCUCGUGUCGUGAGAUGUUGGGUUAAGUCCCGCAACGAGCGCAACCCUUGUCAUUAGUUGCCAUCAUUUGGUUGGGCACUCUAAUGAGACUGCCGGUGACAAACCGGAGGAAGGUGGGGAUGACGUCAAGUCCUCAUGGCCCUUAUGGGUAGGGCUUCACACGUCAUACAAUGGUCGGUACAGAGGGUUGCCAACCCGCGAGGGGGAGCUAAUCCCACAAAGCCGAUCGUAGUCCGGAUCGCAGUCUGCAACUCGACUGCGUGAAGUCGGAAUCGCUAGUAAUCGUGGAUCAGCAUGUCACGGUGAAUACGUUCCCGGGUCUU